GCCUCAAAGAGGGGACAAACAGUUGGAAACGACUGGUAAUACCGCAUAAGCCCACGGCUCGGCAUCGAGCAGAGGGAAAAGGAGCAAUCCGCUUUGAGAUGGCCUCGCGUCCGAUUAGCUAGUUGGUGAGGUAAUGGCCCACCAAGGCGACGAUCGGUAGCCGGACUGAGAGGUUGAACGGCCACAUUGGGACUGAGACACGGCCCAGACUCCUACGGGAGGCAGCAGUGGGGAAUAUUGCACAAUGGGGGAAACCCUGAUGCAGCGACGCCGCGUGGAGGAAGAAGGUCUUCGGAUUGUAAACUCCUGUUGUUGAGGAAGAUAAUGACGGUACUCAACAAGGAAGUGACGGCUAACUACGUGCCAGCAGCCGCGGUAAAACGUAGGUCACAAGCGUUGUCCGGAAUUACUGGGUGUAAAGGGAGCGCAGGCGGGAAGACAAGUUGGAAGUGAAAUCCGUGGGCUCAACCCAUGAACUGCUUUCAAAACUGUUUUUCUUGAGUAGUGCAGAGGUAGGCGGAAUUCCCGGUGUAGCGGUGGAAUGCGUAGAUAUCGGGAGGAACACCAGUGGCGAAGGCGGCCUACUGGGCACCAACUGACGCUGAGGCUCGAAAGUGUGGGUAGCAAACAGGAUUAGAUACCCUGGUAGUCCACACUGUAAACGAUGAUUACUAGGUGUUGGAGGAUUGACCCCUUCAGUGCCGCAGUUAACACAAUAAGUAAUCCACCUGGGGAGUA
RNAcentral lists this ribosomal RNA (738 nucleotides) under uncultured bacterium. RNAcentral describes it as "bacterial SSU rRNA". It matches the Rfam family "Bacterial small subunit ribosomal RNA", at positions 128 to 882 of the family's 1533-position model. The record is from RNAcentral.